UGUUACUUAUAAGAAAAAAAUCUUGGAAUAGUAGUAAUAAAUGAAAUUUAACGGAUUUGGCGGCAAGAUAGCCAUUUAGAGGAACCUGCCCUAUAAACGAUGAGCCACGAGGACCCUACUUUUGUUAGUAUUCAGUUUGUAUACCGCUGUUGUCAGUUAGUUUCUUUAGAAAACUCUCAUGCAUGGUAAAAUCAUUGACUUCAAGUAAAGGUGCAGCUAAUGCAAAAGAUAGAGGUGGGUUACAUUUAUAAGAAUAAAACGGAUAAAGUUAAUGAAAAAUCUUUUGAAGGUGGAUUUAAUUGUAAAGUUUAAAAAAACUUGAUGGGAGCUCUGUCUUGU
RNAcentral lists this ribosomal RNA (339 nucleotides) under Megabalanus sp. 2 MPL-2014. RNAcentral's name for it is "partial 12S ribosomal RNA". The record is from RNAcentral. Lineage: Eukaryota; Metazoa; Arthropoda; Thecostraca; Balanomorpha; Balanidae.